RNAcentral lists this ribosomal RNA (497 nucleotides) under uncultured bacterium. Its description in RNAcentral is "partial 16S ribosomal RNA". It matches the Rfam family "Bacterial small subunit ribosomal RNA", at positions 28 to 507 of the family's 1533-position model. The record is from RNAcentral.
GACGAACGCUGGCGGCGUGCCUAAUGCAUGCAAGUUGAGCGCUGAAGGUUGGUACUUGUACCAACUGGAUGAGCAGCGAACGGGUGAGUAACGCGUGGGGAAUCUGCCUUUGAGCGGGGGACAACAUUUGGAAACGAAUGCUAAUACCGCAUAAAAACUUUAAACACAAGUUUUAAGUUUGAAAGAUGCAAUUGCAUCACUCAAAGAUGAUCCCGCGUUGUAUUAGCUAGUUGGUGAGGUAAAGGCUCACCAAGGCGAUGAUACAUAGCCGACCUGAGAGGGUGCUCGGCCACAUUGGGACUGCGACCCGGCCCAAACUCCUACGGGAGGCAGCAGUAGGGAAUCUUCGGCAAUGGACGAAAGUCUGACCGAGCAACGCCGCGUGAGUGAAGAAGGUUUUCGGAUCGUAAAACUCUGUUGGUAGAGAAGAACGUUGGUGAGAGUGGAAAGCUCAUCAAGUGACGGUAACUACCCAGAAAGGGACGGCUAACUACGUG